Molecule: long non-coding RNA, 531 nt
Filed under: Mus spretus (western wild mouse)
Lineage: Eukaryota; Metazoa; Chordata; Mammalia; Rodentia; Muridae
Description: lncRNA (ENSMSPG00010043596.1)
Source: RNAcentral
UUGUCUGAAAGUGAGCAGCUGGCUACACCAUGAAUUCCCGUCUACAAUGCUCUGCCUCACCAUAGACUCGUAACCGGACCCUUUCUGCCAUCUGGAUCAUCUACUUUCUGCUUCUUGACCAAGACACAUACAUGAGCAAACAGGCUAUUCUUCCAAGCCUGGGGAAUGUUAUCCUCUGCAUCAUAUCUGUGUUCACAGUGGAGGUUAACUCUUGUCUGACCAGGUAUAUGCUACAAAGCUCAGAAGAGAAAGGAGGGUGUGGAGGAAGCUGAACUUGAAAGAAGGCAGAGGAAAUGGAAGGCCUACAAAAAUUUCCUCAAGGAGCAAAAGGAAACCUCUCUUAUUUGACUGCUCACAGAAGGAGCUUGGAGAAGAACCUAGGUCCUCGUAGUCUGCUCCAUACAGCUGAGGACAGUACCCAGGAAGGUGAGGAGAACUCUGAGGAGCUACCUGGUCCUAGCAUUGCCUUUCUGAGCCUAUGGCCCAGGGAUGGGUUAAUAACUUCUCCCUGGCCUUAUCUUUACCAUCAAA